AUUGAACGCUGGCGGCAUGCCUUACACAUGCAAGUCGAACGGUAACAGGUCUUCGGAUGCUGACGAGUGGCGAACGGGUGAGUAAUACAUCGGAACGUGCCUAGUAGUGGGGGAUAACUACUCGAAAGAGUGGCUAAUACCGCAUGAGAUCUACGGAUGAAAGCAGGGGAUCGCAAGACCUUGUGCUACUAGAGCGGCCGAUGGCAGAUUAGGUAGUUGGUGGGAAAAAAGCUUACCAAGCCGACGAUCUGUAGCUGGUCUGAGAGGACGAUCAGCCACACUGGGACUGAGACACGGCCCAGACUCCUACGGGAGGCAGCAGUGGGGAAUUUUGGACAAUGGGCGCAAGCCUGAUCCAGCAAUGCCGCGUGCAGGAUGAAGGCCUUCGGGUUGUAAACUGCUUUUGUACGGAACGAAAAGCCCCGGGCUAAUACCCUGGGGUCAUGACGGUACCGUAAGAAUAAGCACCGGCUAACUACGUGCCAGCCGCCGCCGUAA
Molecule: ribosomal RNA, 498 nt
Filed under: uncultured bacterium
Lineage: Bacteria
Description: partial 16S ribosomal RNA
Rfam family: Bacterial small subunit ribosomal RNA
Source: RNAcentral